GGCAGACGGGUGAGUAACAUGUACGUAUCUACCCUUUGGCCUGGAAUAACACGAGGAAACUUGUGCUAAUACCGGAUAAGUCUUUACGGAGAAAGCUUUAUGCACCAUUGGAUGAGCCUGCACUUGAUUAGUUUGUUGGUGGGGUAAUGGCCUACCAAGACUGUGAUCAAUAGCUGAUUUGAGAGGAUGAUCAGCCACAUUGGGACUGAGACACGGCCCAAACUCCUACGGGAGGCAGCAGUGGGGAAUCUUGCACAAUGGAGGAAACUCUGAUGCAGCGAUGCCGCGUGAGUGAAGAAGGCCUUUGGGUUGUAAAGCUCUUUCGUCGGGGAAGAAGAUGACUGUACCCGAAUAAGAAGGUCCGGCUAACUUCGUGCCAGCAGCCGCGGUAAUACGAAGGGACCUAGCGUAGUUCGGAAUUACUGGGCUUAAAGAGUUCGUAGGUGGUUGAAAAAGUUGGUGGUGAAAUCCCAGAGCUUAACUCUGGAACUGCCAUCAAAACUUUUCAGCUAGAGUUUGAUAGAGGAAAGCAGAAUUUCUAGUGUAGAGGUGAAAUUCGUAGAUAUUAGAAAGAAUACCAAUUGCGAAGGCAGCUUUCUGGAUCAUUACUGACACUGAGGAACGAAAGCAUGGGUAGCGAAGAGGAUUAGAUACCCUCGUAGUCCAUGCCGUAAACGAUGUGUGUUAGACGUUGGAAAUUUAUUUUCAGUGUCGCAGCGAAAGCGAUAAACACAC
RNAcentral lists this ribosomal RNA (735 nucleotides) under uncultured marine bacterium. RNAcentral's name for it is "bacterial SSU rRNA". It matches the Rfam family "Bacterial small subunit ribosomal RNA", at positions 97 to 869 of the family's 1533-position model. The record is from RNAcentral.